Molecule: non-coding RNA, 113 nt
Filed under: Xylanimonas cellulosilytica
Lineage: Bacteria; Bacillati; Actinomycetota; Actinomycetes; Micrococcales; Promicromonosporaceae
Also listed under: 1 other name
Description: SAM-IV sequence
Rfam family: SAM (S-adenosyl methionine) riboswitch aptamer
About the family: SAM-IV is a mRNA element that regulates gene expression via direct sensing of S-adenosylmethionine (SAM or AdoMet). SAM-IV riboswitches share conserved nucleotide positions with the previously described SAM-I riboswitches sequence analysis and molecular recognition experiments suggest that SAM-I and SAM-IV riboswitches share similar ligand binding sites, but have different scaffolds.
Source: RNAcentral
GGUCACGAGACCCGGUGACAAGCGCUGGCUAGCCGGGCAGCAACCCUCCGACCGCGGUGGGGUGCUCCAGCUGACGACCCGGCCCCGUCCGCCGGACGGGGCAAGAGCGGCCC